This 252-nucleotide ribosomal RNA is filed under the name uncultured bacterium. RNAcentral describes it as "partial 16S ribosomal RNA". It matches the Rfam family "Bacterial small subunit ribosomal RNA", at positions 524 to 776 of the family's 1533-position model. The record is from RNAcentral.
UACGGAGGAUGCGAGCGUUAUCCGGAUUUAUUGGGUUUAGAGGGUGCGUAGGCGGGAUGCCAAGUCAGCGGUAAAAAUGCGGUGCUCAACGCCGUCGAGCCGUUGAAACUGGCGUUCUUGAGUGGGCGAGAAGUAUGCGGAAUGCGUGGUGUAGCGGUGAAAUGCAUAGAUAUCACGCAGAACUCCGAUUGCGAAGGCGGCAUACCGGCGCCCUACUGACGCUGAGGCACGAAAGCGUGGGUAUCGAACAGG